Molecule: ribosomal RNA, 254 nt
Filed under: uncultured bacterium
Lineage: Bacteria
Description: partial 16S ribosomal RNA
Rfam family: Bacterial small subunit ribosomal RNA
Source: RNAcentral
UACGUAGGGUGCGAGCGUUGUCCGGAAUUAUUGGGCGUAAAGAGCUCGUAGGCGGUCUGUCGCGUCGAUCGUGAAAACUUGGGGCUUAACCCUGAGCUUGCGGUCGAUACGGGCAUGACUGGAGUUCGGCAGGGGAGACUGGAAUUCCUGGUGUAGCGGUGAAAUGCGCAGAUAUCAGGAGGAACACCGGUGGCGAAGGCGGGUCUCUGGGCAAUUCCUGACGCUGAGGCGCGAAAGCUAGGGGAGCAAACGGG